RNAcentral lists this long non-coding RNA (5403 nucleotides) under Coffea arabica (coffee). RNAcentral's name for it is "long non-coding RNA (CARA_LNC000976)". Lineage: Eukaryota; Viridiplantae; Streptophyta; Magnoliopsida; Gentianales; Rubiaceae. The record is from RNAcentral.
UUUUUUUUUUUUUUUUUGCAAAGCAUUAUUUAGCCAAAUGGAAAGGCUUCGUUAGUUCAAUCAUACAGGGGGAUUGUUUAUUAUAUAAAAUAGUGUAGUUAAUAAAACGCUCCACCUAUGAUCGAUAAAUUACGAGUUCGAAUCAUCAAAGGAUAAGUAAGGAACUAUCAUUAAAAAAAAGAGAAAAAAAUACAGGGGAUGGUUAGCAUUCCUAUUUUAAUUGGAUAAAACAAAAGAUGGUAAUCCAAAAUAUUAGAGGUGUUGACAUCAAAAAAUUUCUUGUUCAAAAAAAAAAAAAUCAAGAAUAUAUGAUUUGGAAUGAUGCGGCCGUCUAGCGUUUAGUUGGACUCAUAAAUGCUCAUUUCAUCAUUUUGGACUGAGACAAAACGAAAAGGGAAAUAAUAAUUGGAUAGGGGUUUGAACGUUGAAGGGAGAGCAUUCAAUUCAAGGCGACAAUAAUAGAGUUUGGGAAGUGCCGAAAUAUAAGCAGGAGCAUUUAUUGAACAUGAGAUUAAUUACGGGAGUUGAGACCAAACAAGUUCAUAAAAACUCAUGGGAGGGCAAGGCUUUUUCUAACCACCGAAUCUUCUUCUCCACCGCUGUCCCCCCCCCCCCCCCCCCCCCCCCCCCAAAAAAAAAAAAAAAAAAAGUGGUACAGGGGAAGAAUUUCACCUUUGCCUUCUGUAAGAAAUCAAGAAUCCUUGGUUAACCCUAAAAAGAAGGGAAAAAAAUAAAAAUACAUUUUUGUGGUUUUGCGGCCCCGGAACCGCUUAAAUUAAAUAAGGAAAUGAUGAUUAUAUUUAAGCCUUGGUCAAAUAUGAAAAGAAAUCAAGAAGUGAAAAUGACAUUUGAUGGAAAUUGUGGACGGGAGGUGAUAAAUAUAUAUGGAACAAAUGCAAGCAGAGUUAGGCGUAUUACCCACUAAUUCAACUUAUGUCUUUGUCUGUUUUCAGAGAUGAACAGCUUCUUGCAAGGGCCUUGUAUUUCCACAUGGAGAAUUGACCAAAGCAAAUGAAUUGCCGUCAUAUCUGGCAUCAUCCGUGAAGAAAUAAGAUCAAUUAAACAUGUAGUCAACAUUUCUAAUUAGUAAAUUAAAAUGCUGAAAAUUUCACAGGCUCCGUACAUAUAUAGGGAGAAAAAACUGCAAUUUCUUAUCAUAUAUGAGUACUUUUUUCUUGCAGUACUAUAGUCUACGGCUCUAUAUAUAUAUAUAUAUAUGUGUGUGUGAAGAUCAAAUCUUCAGCAGCAUGGUCUUGAAAGAUGAAUGUAGAACUUAUUAGUGAUGACCAAUUGGAUGCUUGGUAUUAGUGAUUUAUAAUGUCAAACAUUUUCAAAUUCGAUUAUUGACUUUAUAUAGCAAUCAGCAUCCAAAGUAUGAGUAGACUGCCAAUGAUUAACGAACUCCUCCGCAUGCUAGCUAGAUCCCAUAAAUCACCUCCGCAAAUUUUUGUACCCUAUGACCUUCUCUGCAUUCGUGUUGAUCGAUCUCCCACCCUCUCCCGUCUCAUUUCAGAGGCGAAAUUAAGCACUGGCCGGCGGUUUGAACAAGCUGGAAAUUCAAGAUCAUUUCUUGAAUGUAUGCGUACAGACACCUAUACAUAUAUAAUACAUGCACUAUUGCAAUUUUCGUAUGUGGAGCCUUUUCCAUUUUAUUAAAAUUAUAUAUAUAUAUAGAGGAUAUGGUAGGUGAAACAUCCCACACCUAGAAUUGAAGCAUGCAGAGAUAUCAGUACUCUUCAAAGGGUUCACUUCAUAAUCAAAAAAAGUGCAAGAAUUUUACAUUCUUGAUAUCUUGGGACGUGACAUGGAAACAGGAAAAAAAAAAAAAAAUGGGGCAUGAUUAGAGUUGAUGAUUAUAUCGGCUACUUGGCUGAAACAGUAGCUUUGUUGUGCCAUGUUAGGAGGACAUCUUUUAGCCUAGCCUAGCCAAAUUCAACACUAGUAUUAUGAGUAUUGCAUUAACCUUCUGACGACAGUCAAUCUGACUACCAUCAACUCUUCCAAAUUUAUCUGUGAUUGUUCCUAUUAAUUUAAUGAAUGCUUAAGAUGGAAUGGAAACAUUAUUAUUGUCAUUAAGGAGAAUGCUUAUGGCGGGUAUGACAAAAACCUAAAACACCUGGUACGUGGCUCUAUGCAAUACCCUAACAAUCCCCUUCUUGGAGGGACCGCACCAUGAAAAACUGGGACUCUCCGGCCCAUCAAGAAUGGGACACGUCUACACCAAGUGAUGUAACAUCAAUGCCGUACUUUUUGAGGUCUGAUUAAGAGUUAUUUAGACCAAAUUAGGAGCAUCAUUCUACUGCAUUGACGAACGCAGUUGUCACGUACUUAUCAGUGUGCUAAUAUUUGAUUAGUGGACAUCGUGUCAUAGCCUUUACUUUUUCUUUUCUAGCUUGAUUUCUUAAUUUCAGUAAAAGAAUCAAACUCUUAAUUUUAUCUUCUUUUUUUUUUUUGACCAAAUUGAUUUGGAAUUAAUUUAUAACCAAUAUAUACUUUUGAAUUGUUACUGUCAAGUUGCAGACACAAAAAUCCCGGAUGCACCGCACCAUACGUAGAAUGAAAGUUUGAUCCCAUAUACCUUGGAUAUUGAUUCCAUUAGUGAUCUUGAGAAAAUAAAGUCUGGAUCAGCGGAAUUGUGACAUUGAUCCUUUUUCUUUAAAAAAAAUGAAAGCGUAAUCCUAGGGUACAAAUCUACGGUUGUUAGGUCAAGUGAUAAAGAAGCUAAUGUCCCUUAAACAAGAUUUUGGUUCAAUUCUUAUGAACGGAGAAAAUAAAAUCGGGAGAAUCAGCCGUGAAAAGUGUUUAACAGUGCUUAAUUCUGAAUUAAUUAUUUAGGGUCCAAUACUCUAUAAAGUUUACACACAGACAAAAAAAAAAAAAAAAGGAGCCCUAAGGUACGAAAAGAGGCAAGAGUCGUUUAUCCUUUAUUAUUGAAACCUGGAAAAUUAGGAUGGAAAGAGAGCAUUUGCAAGAGAAAGUCAAACGCCUUCGCAGUUAACUGGUUACGUUUGGACGCGUAUACGGAUUCUACAUUUUAUUUCUUUUCCUUUUUCCUGUGCAAAAGUAAAUUCAUGUGAAGCUGAGUUUGCAGAAACAGUGAAAAUCAUGUGCAAAAGUGUCUGAUUAUCGUCCCACUUUAUUGCUUUGCUCAGAUGGUCAAAUAUUAUUUUAUUUGUCUACUUGCUGCAUAUGCUUUAGGUUCUUUUCUUAUGUACAACUUUGACCAAACCCCAUACAGCUUGCUUGCUUCCGUGCCCUUCCUCUUCUUUCUCUGAUUGAGAAAGCUGACAUGAAAUCUAGAAAAUUUUCGCUCCCUUCUAUGUUUUUUUUUUUCAUGGAAGAUUGACCUCAACGAAUCAAACUAUGGCAGCUAGCUCUAUCGCACAUAUUACAAUUUCAUAAACUUGGGUUAAUUAAUGUCUCCGUGCUUGCUGUCAUGACUAAGGCACUCACAGCAUAAAAAGAGUCGCAAAUGCUUACAACUUUUUCUAUAACAGAAGAAGAGACAACAAUUUGUCCAAAUCCGGGAUUUUCUUCCGCGAUGUUAUGCGUAAGUUUCCAAAUCGACCGGCCUACGCAUAGCAUAGAUAUUAGGUGGAAAUACAUCAUCGAAAAAUGCAAUGAGUUUCUGUUUUGAGCUGCUCAAUUGCUCCCAACAAACCCUCCUGAAUUCUAAAUCAAGCUCAUGUAAUUUUCUAUUUGUUGCCAUAUCUCCAGUUGUGGGCGAGACUUCAUGAUUUGUUUAGAACUAUUUUGAGGUGUAUGGAGUUUAAGGAUACUAUUUCAAGAAAUCCCGUGCAUAUUGUUUAAGCUAUAGGUGUGGAUGGCGUUUUCAUGCAUUUGACUUGGGUGGGAUUCAGUCACCAUUACAUGUGGAUGGAGUCUGUGUUAAUGGAGAAUACUCUAAUGGGAUGAUCAGAACGUGGUGACAUAUUACAAGGAAGAAGAAGAUUACCUGGCUGUAAUUGAAAUUCGAGACCAUUCCCUGAAAAGAUCAAAGAUUAAAUUAAAGGAGUAAUGGAGGGAUACGUGGGAGCUUCAAGCAAGAUGAUAAAUAAUUAAACGGGAGCAGAGCGUGUCAUCACAGGAUUAUCAUGGCAGAAUGCUUAAUCUACACCAUGAAUUUUAUAUAUAUAUAUAUAUAUAUAUAUAUAUAUAUAUAUAUAUAAAGAGCUGCUAAUGUUGAACAAGCUACGAUGUUAGGUUGAAUUUAACUGAAGCCAAAAGGAACCCCAAAUUUUAAACUUGUUGUGGUAAGUAAUAAUGGAGACUCUGAUGAGAAGGGACAAAUGGAAGAUUUCUUAUGGUAUCUAAUUGGCCACAAGACCAGUGAACUGUUCAAUUUUUAUAACACCCCAAGUAGAUUACAAAAUUAGAUUAAUUUUGCACUCUAGGAAGAGGAAAUUUUAGUUUAUGUAGUUUUAGUAUUUCAUUAUGAAAAGCCAAUUUUGAUACUUGCUGUUUUGUCAAUUGCAAUAUUGCAAACUUACCGUUUUUAUACGAGAGCCUCGAAGAUUAGGGGAGCAACAAUUUGUGUUUGAUGAACAAAGUAUGCGAGAAAUAUGCCAUCCAUAUAACAAAGACAAAGCCAGGGAAAAAGUCCGCAGAGGCUUUUGCAGUAAUAGAUUGUUUCAUCGGAAAUUGCAAGCAUCCUAAACUAAUUUGUUACCCUUGGAUGGAAUUGAAGCGCUUACAGAGAACGUCUUGCUCUCUCAUUAGACUUUCGACAGACAAUAAUUCAAACAAAGGACUUUUGACAUUAGAACACUAAACCAGACUAAUAAAUACUAGUUCUUCUGUUCACCAGGAAGUUUGUUAUUGACUUAAAAGCCAAUUCAUGGGGUUCAAUUUCAAGAACUUGGACGACUAAACGCACACAAAAAGAAAAAAGGGGACAAAAAGCCUGUACUUAGUACGAAAAGACGUACAGAUUACCAGAAAAGGCUCUCAUGUACGACAGGAGAAAACAUUGACAACGAGCCUACAAACUUGAAUGAGAUUAGCGUCAAGUAUUUGCCAAACUAAUGCAAACUUUUGGAGUUGAUAAUGUACUCAGAGCAGCCUAGCUGGUUAGCAAUAGCAACAAAUGCUGGCAAAUAAAUAUCACAAACAGCACGAAAACGAGUCUUCAAGAUAGUCUGGUGGAACGGACAUCUAAUCCUGGUAGCUUAAGACAAGUCGAAUAUUCUCAUUUAAUAAACCAUAUCAAUAUCCAGAGAGAGAGCUACCUCAAGUUCAAAAGUGUCUGAAAAUCAUACAAACAAAAAAUAUCUGAUGAAUAAUAUGAACGAGAGUAGCUUCAGAACCUCUUACAAAUAAUGAACCCUUACUACUUGCAACAACUUCCUCUGCGGUCUGCAAUUUUAUUGCAUGAUGAUUCAUAACAUCUGUUUCUGCACCAAU